UACGUAGGGUGCAAGCGUUGUCCGGAAUUAUUGGGCGUAAAGAGCUCGUAGGCGGUCUGUCGCGUCUGCUGUGAAAACUCAGGGCUUAACCCUGAGCUUGCAGUGGGUACGGGCAGACUAGAGUGCGGUAGGGGAGACUGGAAUUCCUGGUGUAGCGGUGAAAUGCGCAGAUAUCAGGAGGAACACCGGUGGCGAAAGCAGCUCUCUGGGACGGUACUGACGCUGAGACGCGAAAGCGUGGGGAGCGAACAGG
This 253-nucleotide ribosomal RNA is filed under the name uncultured bacterium. RNAcentral describes it as "partial 16S ribosomal RNA". It matches the Rfam family "Bacterial small subunit ribosomal RNA", at positions 524 to 776 of the family's 1533-position model. The record is from RNAcentral.